UUAACUAUUGUAUAGUACUCAGACGACACUAACAUUCAGAGUUUGAAGGGCCUCUGGCGGGCACGCGCCAGCCGGGGCCGGCGGCCGAGCAGGGCCCGGCGGCCCGCCAAAGAAACGACGGUAACAAUAACAGUGGGUGGGAGAUCUACCCGGAAGGGCGAGAACUCUGUAAUGAUCCCUCCGCAGGUUCACCUACGGAGA
RNAcentral lists this unclassified non-coding RNA (201 nucleotides) under uncultured fungus. Its description in RNAcentral is "sequence contains ITS1". The record is from RNAcentral. Lineage: Eukaryota; Fungi.